UACAGAGGGUGCAAGCGUUAAUCGGAAUUACUGGGCGUAAAGCGCACGUAGGCGGCUAGGUCCGUCCGAUGUGAAAUACCCCAGCUCAACCGGGGAACUGCAUCGGAUACAGCCUGGCUUGAGGAUGGUUGGGGUGAGUGGAACUCCUGGUGGAGCGGUGAAAUGCGUAGAUAUCAGGAGGAACACCGGUGGCGAAAGCGGCUCACUGGACCAUUACUGACGCUGAGGUGCGAAAGCUAGGGGAGCAAACGGGAUUAGAUACCCUAGUAGU
This 271-nucleotide ribosomal RNA is filed under the name uncultured bacterium. RNAcentral's name for it is "partial 16S ribosomal RNA". It matches the Rfam family "Bacterial small subunit ribosomal RNA", at positions 524 to 794 of the family's 1533-position model. The record is from RNAcentral.